AUGGCGUGUACCCGAAGCAGAGGCCAUGGAAGUCAAAGCGAGCUGCCUGAAACUCUCCAGCCUGAACUCCUCGGCGUCUUACCAGUACUAGGGGUCACACAUGAUGGCCCAGGACUUUAUAAUCACACUCGUCUUGGUUGGCAUCACAUACCUGUUGAUCUCGCAGGCCUCGGUGCUCCCUCGAGGGAUCAAGAUGGUAGUUGCUGGGUACAGCUUGAACGUCUCCUUGAUCACCAAGCCGAGGUACUUGAUGCAACUUCCGCUCGUCCGGAGAUCGAUCUCGCGGAACGCCGCCCUGAUCUUGUCUUGCAUCUUCCUCAUUACCUUUGGCUUCAUCAUCAGCUCUGA
This 348-nucleotide ribosomal RNA is filed under the name Triticum aestivum (bread wheat). RNAcentral's name for it is "partial small subunit ribosomal RNA". Lineage: Eukaryota; Viridiplantae; Streptophyta; Magnoliopsida; Poales; Poaceae. The record is from RNAcentral.